This 395-nucleotide ribosomal RNA is filed under the name uncultured Chrysophyceae. RNAcentral's name for it is "partial small subunit ribosomal RNA". It matches the Rfam family "Eukaryotic small subunit ribosomal RNA", at positions 30 to 432 of the family's 1831-position model. The record is from RNAcentral. Lineage: Eukaryota; Chrysophyceae.
GCUUGUCUCAAAGAUUAAGCCAUGCAUGUCUAAGUAUAAACAACUUUAUACUGUAAAACUGCGAACGGCUCAUUAUAUCAGCAAUAAUUUAUUUGAUGGUUUCUUACCCCAUGGAUAACUGUGGUAAUUCUAGAGCUAAUACAUGCGUCAAAACCCGACUCCUGGGAGGGUUGUAUUUAUUAGAUGGAAACCAAUGCGGGGCAACCCGGUAUAUGGUGAUUCAUAAUAACUUUCGGAUCGAUCUUCGGAUCGAUGCAUCAUUCAAGUUUCUGCCCUAUCAGCUUUGGAUGGUAGGGUAUUGGCCUACCAUGGCUUUAACGGGUAACGGAGAAUUAGGGUUCGAUUCCGGAGAGGGAGCCUGAGAAAUGGCUACCACAUCCAAGGAAGGCAGCAGG